GGAGCGAGACAAUGUUCUGUCUCGUUCCACGGGAAAAUUCGGACAACCCCAUUCCAAAAGAUUUAAAAGCUUGCUUCCAAGGCUCAAGAAAGACCACCGUUGGGAUAGAAGAUGGAAGAACAUGCAGUCCCUUUCGCCUACAACCACAGCCUUGACUCCCCGUCUUGUGCACUCACCCAACUCUCUCAUCUCCACCUGGGCUUCACUCCCUGUUUCUGUUUUAGUUCCCUCCCUCUCUAUAUAGAGGGCAUUCCCUCUCACCCCUCCUCGAUUUUUUGCCAUAGCCGCUGCUCUAUCCUUCCCCGAAUCAUUUUAGCCAUGGGUCAGAGUAAGUAGCUCACCAUUUUCUGAUAGUUCUUCUUGAUUUCGUUUCCAUUUAUCUUCAAUUGAUGCUAUGAUCUUUCUUGAAAGCGAUGAAAGGUUAGAGUGUGUCGGCUCUCUGAUCUAAUCAACCAGAUUUGAUAUUUGUUGUUGCUUGUUUCGAUAUAGUUUUAUAAUUCGUUGGGA
This 507-nucleotide long non-coding RNA is filed under the name Phoenix dactylifera (date palm). RNAcentral describes it as "long non-coding RNA (PDAC_LNC004696)". Lineage: Eukaryota; Viridiplantae; Streptophyta; Magnoliopsida; Arecales; Arecaceae. The record is from RNAcentral.